RNAcentral lists this transfer RNA (72 nucleotides) under Culex quinquefasciatus (southern house mosquito). It matches the Rfam family "tRNA". From Rfam's summary of the family: Transfer RNA (tRNA) molecules are approximately 80 nucleotides in length. Lineage: Eukaryota; Metazoa; Arthropoda; Insecta; Diptera; Culicidae. The record is from Rfam by way of RNAcentral.
GGGACCGUGGUGUAGGGGUUAGCAUUGUUGCCUCUCAUCCAGUCGGCCUGGGUUCGAUCCCAGACGGUCCCG